UCAAGCUGCAGAGCGUUUUGCCCUCACCCAAGCUUGUCAUGUGGUGUAUUUCCACUACCUGAUGGAACAAAGCACAUUUACCGAUGGACUUCAUUCAGCUGCCACCCUUAGUGAGAUAUCAAUAAAGAAGGUUUUUGAGAUCCACCAACUGAGGGCAAUCAAACCUUCCACAGUCUAGAACCUGGAGAAUGGGUCUUCUGGAAAUGCCAUCACAGGAAGGCUGCUCUUGAACCUUGUUGGAAGGGGCCAUACCAAGUUCUUCUCACAACCCACACUGCAGUGAAGCUUCAGGACCUUAAACGUUGGAUCCACAUCUCACACCUCAAAAGCGCCCCUUCAGACUCCUGGAACUGUACGCCUGCUGGAGAUUUUAAGGAAAAUCCAUGGGACCAUACGCAAUGGAUGGCUUUAGCUCAAGAUUAUGCUCUAAUACAAAACCAUUAAUUGUUGGGUUAGUUAGUUAAUGCCAAAAAAUCAAGAAACAAUUACACUGAUGCCAAUGCCUCUCAACAUUUGCAAUGACAAUCACCUUGAAACUCCAAGGGAAGAAUAAAAAGCUAUCCUUGAUAUUCUAAACAUUGUUGCUACUUGCUUUCCUGCAUUCACUAAAAAUAGCACUCUUAUUUUUUAAUAAAUAAUAUAGAAAACAAAUCCAAAUGAUGCCUGCAAAAGGUAUGUUAUGCUUCCUGGCAUUACACACUCAAGAUUUGGGAAUCAUCUAUGCGGUUACAAUUAUUUGCUUGGAUUAAAUCCAGUUGGGUCUCUUUUUACUAAAUGUGGAGAUAUAUAUAUAUAUAUAUAUAAAAUAUAUAUAUACACACACACACACACACACACACGCACACUAAAUGUGGAGAUAUAUAUCUACACAUUUAUAUAUAUAUAUAUACACACACAUAUAUAUAUAUAUGGUCUCCACAUUUAUGUGUGUGUGUAUAUAUAUUACAUAUAUAGAUUCCUCUAUAUAUACACACACAUAAAUGUGGAGACAUACAUGUAUAGAGGAAUAUAUAU
This 1014-nucleotide long non-coding RNA is filed under the name Homo sapiens (human). RNAcentral's name for it is "HSALNT0186230". The record is from RNAcentral. Lineage: Eukaryota; Metazoa; Chordata; Mammalia; Primates; Hominidae.